AGUGACACACAGUUCAACCCUGUCUCUCGACGUUGGGCAGUGGCAGUUCCCUGUCAGCUCCUCAGCCACAAAGGGAGGCAUCAGCAGUGUUCUACGUUCAGCAGAGUAGCAUCUGCAUGUCAGCCGGGCAGAGGGAGCCACUGUUAAGCAAGAGGACCAGGACCACUUCUAAAGGGCUUUUUCAACUAACACAGCUUGACAGCAAAUGUUCUGGAGGAAUUUGAGAGGAUGAGUGAUAGAAUUGGAAGGAAGAAGUGGAAAUAAAGCUUUUGUAGGCUGACACGAUGGACUGAAUCUAGCAGGGUGAGAUGUAACAAAAGAAAAACAUCUCCACCUAGACACCUACCACCUGGCCCAAGAGCAGCAAAGUCCAGAACUGCAGGAUGAGGGACACAUAGACGAGCAGAUUUUCAGUAGUGAUGCUCAACCGAUAAAGUCCAUGCAAAUAAUUUCACAACCUGAGAAGCUCCGAAAUCCGAAAGACCUCCAGUCCCAAGCAUUUCAGAUGAAGGAUGCUCAACUUCAAACAAGCUCUGAAAGUUCCCUGAGGCCCAGCCCUGAACAAGAGAUUCUGGAGAAUGGAUGGAGAUGGCAUAGACUUUACUCUGCCUUGAGAUUUCUAACCCAAGCGAGGCUUGGGAUUCUAGAUCUUCAGGAAUCUGGUGGGUAAAUCACCUUCUCUUCUAGAAAGAGAGUAGAGCUGGUUCUUCUCUGCUGAAGCUGGACUCCCCAAAGCUUGUGGUGUGGGAGGUGACAACUGAGCACCCCUUUGCUGUCCCUGCCCCACUCAGAGCCCCAGGCAAAGGAUGACAAAGGGAAGCCCACAAGUCACAUGGCUGGGUGAAGUAGGGCAGUGUGAAAACUCACAAGUCCAGAAAAAUUUAAAAUGUUGAAAACAACAACAGAAAUUUCAACCAAUUUAUCCAUUGAGAUACGAGAUUCUUAGACAUCCACAUCUUUUUGUAGUAGGUGACCCCCAUUCUAACCUCUCCAGCAAUAGUACAGUCCCUUAAAUUAUGCAUUAUAAUGACCAUUUCCCAGGCCUAGGUUGUCUUGCACAGAAAUCUCUCCAGAAAUCGUUAAAACAAAAAUUUCUUUGAUAUCAUUUAGUCAUUAUUUCACAGUAGAAUUGUUGACAUAUGGGCAUCUCCAAGAGAUCAUUCCAGGUG
Heterocephalus glaber (naked mole-rat) is the source of this 1169-nucleotide non-coding RNA. Lineage: Eukaryota; Metazoa; Chordata; Mammalia; Rodentia; Bathyergidae. The record is from RefSeq and is a predicted model, not a curated record.